This 253-nucleotide ribosomal RNA is filed under the name uncultured bacterium. RNAcentral's name for it is "partial 16S ribosomal RNA". It matches the Rfam family "Bacterial small subunit ribosomal RNA", at positions 524 to 776 of the family's 1533-position model. The record is from RNAcentral.
UACGUAGGGUGCAAGCGUUACUCGGAAUUACUGGGCGUAAAGCGCACGUAGGCGGAUCUUUAAGUCAGGGGUGAAAUCCUGGAGCUCAACUCCAGAACUGCCUUUGAUACUGGGGAUCUCGAGUCCGGGAGAGGUGAGUGGAACUCCGAGUGUAGAGGUGAAAUUCGUAGAUAUUCGGAAGAACACCAAUGGCGAAGGCAGCUCGCUGGGACGGUACUGACGCUGAGACGCGAAAGCGUGGGGAGCAAACAGG